RNAcentral lists this ribosomal RNA (493 nucleotides) under Acinetobacter baumannii. RNAcentral describes it as "partial 23S ribosomal RNA". It matches the Rfam family "Bacterial large subunit ribosomal RNA", at positions 79 to 620 of the family's 2925-position model. The record is from RNAcentral. Lineage: Bacteria; Pseudomonadati; Pseudomonadota; Gammaproteobacteria; Moraxellales; Moraxellaceae.
CGGGGAGGCGGCAAAUAUCCUUUGAUCCGGAGAUGUCUGAAUGGGGGAACCCACCUACUUUAAGGUAGGUAUUGCAACAUGAAUACAUAGUGUUGCAAGGCGAACGAGGGGAAGUGAAACAUCUCAGUACCCUUAGGAAAAGAAAUCAAUUGAGAUUCCCUCAGUAGCGGCGAGCGAACGGGGAUCAGCCCAUUAAGUUAUGUGUGUUUUAGUGGAACGCUCUGGGAAGUGCGAACGUAGAGGGUGAUAUUCCCGUACACGAAAGGGCACACAUAAUGAUGACGAGUAGGGCGAGGCACGUGAAACCUUGUCUGAAUAUGGGGGGACCAUCCUCCAAGGCUAAAUACUCCUGACUGACCGAUAGUGAACCAGUACCGUGAGGGAAAGGCGAAAAGAACCCCUGUGAGGGGAGUGAAAUAGAUCCUGAAACCGCAUGCAUACAAGCAGUGGGAGCACCUUCGUGGUGUGACUGCGUACCUUUUGUAUAAUGGGU